This 450-nucleotide ribosomal RNA is filed under the name uncultured bacterium. RNAcentral's name for it is "partial 16S ribosomal RNA". It matches the Rfam family "Bacterial small subunit ribosomal RNA", at positions 354 to 796 of the family's 1533-position model. The record is from RNAcentral.
GUGGGGAAUAUUGGACAAUGGGCGAAAGCCUGAUCCAGCCAUGCCGCGUGUGUGAAGAAGGUCUUCGGAUUGUAAAGCACUUUAAGUUGGGAGGAAGGGUAGUAACCUAAUACGUUGCUACUUUGACGUUACCGACAGAAUAAGCACCGGCUAACUUCGUGCCAGCAGCCGCGGUAAUACGAAGGGUGCAAGCGUUAAUCGGAAUUACUGGGCGUAAAGCGCGCGUAGGUGGUUUUGUAAGUUGGAAGUGAAAUCCCCGGGCUCAACCUGGGAACUGCUUUCAAAACUGCUGAGCUAGAGUACGGUAGAGGGUGGUGGAAUUUCCUGUGUAGCGGUGAAAUGCGUAGAUAUAGGAAGGAACACCAGUGGCGAAGGCGACCACCUGGACUGAUACUGACACUGAGGUGCGAAAGCGUGGGGAGCAAACAGGAUUAGAUACCCUAGUAGUCC